UGUGAACCAGGAAGCAAACCUUCACCGGAUGCCAAAUUUGUGGACUCCUUGAUCUUAGAUAGUCCAGCCUCCAGAACUGGAAGUAUCAGUUCUGCAAAUAAGGCUUCCUUCGAGGAGGACCAAGACAACUAAACGCAGUCACCAACAUCAAAAAAGCUUAUCUUCCAAGGGGGGAUACAGCAAAGGAUUUAAUUCAACAAUUAAAACAGGAUGUGGACACUUCUUCAGCCUGAUCUGGUGCGACCAUCAUCAUCUGCUGUGGGUCCUGCUGCCAUGGGCUGUUCUAAGGAUUGCUCCUGGCUGAUGGCAGCUGCUCUCCACUCAGAGGUUCCUUGAAAGCACUUCCUCCACCAAUCACUUGCCAAAAAUAAACCUGCUUCUAGAAAAUCCAACCUGCUUCUAGAAAAUCCAACCUGAGACCUAUACCAAAAU
RNAcentral lists this long non-coding RNA (432 nucleotides) under Papio anubis (olive baboon). RNAcentral describes it as "lncRNA (ENSPANG00000038809.1)". The record is from RNAcentral. Lineage: Eukaryota; Metazoa; Chordata; Mammalia; Primates; Cercopithecidae.